This 439-nucleotide ribosomal RNA is filed under the name uncultured bacterium. Its description in RNAcentral is "bacterial SSU rRNA". It matches the Rfam family "Bacterial small subunit ribosomal RNA", at positions 355 to 786 of the family's 1533-position model. The record is from RNAcentral.
UAGGGAAUUUUCGUCAAUGGGGGGGAACCCUGAACGAGCAAUGCCGCGUGUGUGAAGAAGGUCUUCGGAUCGUAAAGCACUGUUGUAAGUGAAGAAUGCCAUAUAGAGGAAAUGCUAUGUGGGUGACGGUAGCUUACCAGAAAGCCACGGCUAACUACGUGCCAGCAGCCGCGGUAAUACGUAGGUGGCAAGCGUUAUCCGGAAUCAUUGGGCGUAAAGGGUGCGUAGGUGGCACGAUAAGUCUGAAGUAAAAGGCAACAGCUCAACUGUUGUAUGCUUUGGAAACUGUCGAGCUAGAGUGCAGAAGAGGGCGAUGGAAUUCCAUGUGUAGCGGUAAAAUGCGUAGAUAUAUGGAAGAACACCAGUGGCGAAGGCGGUCGCCUGGUCUGUAACUGACACUGAUGCACGAAAGCGUGGGGAGCAAAUAGGAUUAGAUACC